GGUUAACCAUUUAUUCUUGUUGCUCAGUCCCUUUUUUAUGUACAGAAUGAGUACAUAGUAGGCACUUAGUAAAUAUUUACAGGUGGUAAAGACUAGGGUGAAAUUGAGGGGCUACCUGCAAUUUGGAUUAGAGUCACCUUAAACCUUAAACUGGUCAGUGAGACAAAGAAUAGAAAGCCAACUAAUGCAAAACUGAUCAACUAAAAGAAAAUUUACAUAUGAAAGUAGGAACAAAGGUAGCCAAGAUUAUGUAGCUAAUAUUCUUAUAUUCUUUAUAGACGAAAUAAAGGACAUUAUUUGUCGAAUCCAAGAUGUUUACUGGCAAUUAUGACAGGGAAUCACCACAGAAACUAUUCCAGAAGUAUAUAAUAAAAUAAAUUUUGAUUGACAGGCAUAAGAGUUCUAGUUAGCAAAACAUAAUUGAAUGUAUGAUGGGAAAAUGUACCAUCUUGGAGGUGCUAAGAUCAUCGUUUGUCUCUCAAAUGUGGUUUGAUAAGAGGAUUAUCAGUACAGUAAGUUCAAAUUUAAGAAUGUAUUUAAAAAUCACUGCUUCCAGCUUUUCCAAUACAGAAUAAUGAUCUCAGACUGACUAAUCUUGGCCAACAGAAUUAAAGGUCUGCUCUGUGAUAUACAUGAUACUAUAGUAUAGUUUGAAACAUUGUCCCAUUUAAGCUUAUAACUGACAGAAAAAAUAAAUGAGAAAACAGCAGAGGUCUCUGUCAUCUCUGGUUGUAUGUACACCAGUAGGGUAGGUACUAUUUUGUGAAAGGUAUAUCCACAGUUUUAAACUAAAAGUUUUUUCUUUAAAAAAUGAUUUUAGGUUUACAGUAACUUCUGGUCAAUUUAUUUCUCAUAGGCAGUUAUCUUUUAUCAGCUUCUUCAUUAUUUUCCAUAUCCAUCCAACUAUAAAAUAGUAUCUAAUUUCUACCUACUUCGAAAAGCCCAAAAGUGAGGGGUGAUGAAUUAGAAUAUUUCUUGAAGACAUAAGUAAAAGGACUUUUUUUUCAACUAACUUUAAAAUUCAUUUUUUAUCAAACAUUUAUUUCACAUUGUCCAAGUUCUAAGCAUCACAUGCCAUGAGCAAUGCUAAGUAGUGUUAGAAUAUACUGAUGUUCAUAAAGUUUCUUUUGUAAUUUUAUUUUUCUUUUCAGUGUUAGAAGUUUGUCUCAAGAGUCAUAACACAAAUGACUAUGCAUAUCUCUUAGCUUAGCAGAGGCACUGCUUUGGUGAUUGCUCUGUUGUAGUGAAAGCAAGAGAAUCCCCAGAGAAGUGUAGAGUGCAUCUCCUGACACCACAGCUAUAGCAUAAACACUCUAGAAAAGACACUGCGUGGAUAAACUUAGCUUCAUUAUCCGCAAGCUUGUACUUGAACCAGAAGUAUGCCAUACUCCCUUAACACAUGCCUCCUAAAAGUAUUGUUUUCCAAAAACUGAGCAAGUUGCUCCUGUGGGUGUUCUGGAUGUUCAUAUUACUAACUGGAAUAAUGGCAUCAAUUUUGAUUUCUAUUUGAAAAAUAAUCAACAGAAAUUUUC
RNAcentral lists this long non-coding RNA (1532 nucleotides) under Canis lupus familiaris (dog). Its description in RNAcentral is "lncRNA (ENSCAFG00845024880.1)". Lineage: Eukaryota; Metazoa; Chordata; Mammalia; Carnivora; Canidae. The record is from RNAcentral.